CCUACGGGUGGUAGCAGUGAGGAAUCUUGGUCAAUGGGCGGGAGCCUGAACCAGCCAAGUCGCGUGAGGGAAGACGGUCCUAUGGAUUGUAAACCUCUUUAGGCGGGGAGCAAUGCCGGGCACGUGUGCCCGGAGGGAGAGUACCUGCAAAGGCAGCACCGGCUAACUCCGUGCCAGCAGCCGCGGUAAGACGGAGGGUGCGAGCGUUAAUCGGAAUUACUGGGCGUAAAGCGCUCGUAGGCGGUAUGUCAAGUCAAGGGUGAAAUCCCCGCGCUCAACGUGGGAACUGCCUUUGAAACUGGCAAACUGGAGUGUGUGAGAGGAUAGUGGAAUUCCAGGUGUAGGAGUGAAAUCCGUAGAUAUCUGGAGGAACAUCAGUGGCGAAGGCGACUAUCUGGCACAUAACUGACGCUGAGGAGCGAAAGCGUGGGUAGCAAACAGGAUUAGAUACCCCUGUAGUC
Molecule: ribosomal RNA, 461 nt
Filed under: uncultured bacterium
Lineage: Bacteria
Description: partial 16S ribosomal RNA
Rfam family: Bacterial small subunit ribosomal RNA
Source: RNAcentral